UUACUGAAGUAGGUGAAGACUGUGUGGU
RNAcentral lists this non-coding RNA (28 nucleotides) under Mus musculus (house mouse). The record is from RNAcentral. Lineage: Eukaryota; Metazoa; Chordata; Mammalia; Rodentia; Muridae.